UUAGUUGAGUUGAGUUGAGUUGAAGCAUUUGCAUGAGUUAAAAAUGGAAUUGAACAAUUAUGAAACUACUUAAAUUUAAAGAGAAAAUGACAAGAGACUAGUGAUGAAGAGCUCAUACAGAUAUUCUCUGCUUGAUACUAAAGAGCAGAUUACGGCAAUUUUUAAGGAGAAUAAAAUUUGGAUAUAGUAAAUGUAGAGAAUAAAAAUGUAAAUUCGAGUGCAAUUUUUACCUGAAAUAGUUAUGGUUCUUCAUGUAGUCCAAAACUCUUCUUUUUUUUUUUUUUUGUUUUUUUGGUACAAUUGGCUCCGAUUGGCUGUCAAACUCGAGAUGUCAUAAUUUUGGAGGCAACUUUAGUACCAUUGAGUUAAGCUCAUUAAUUAUGUAAAAGCUUUUUGUGCUACUCAUCUAUAUACACGAUGUUUAUUUAUUAUCGUCAUUUUUGUUUCUUAAGAAAACUGCAAAGUCUAAAAUUUCAAACUCUC
This 483-nucleotide unclassified non-coding RNA is filed under the name Hevea brasiliensis (rubber tree). The record is from RNAcentral. Lineage: Eukaryota; Viridiplantae; Streptophyta; Magnoliopsida; Malpighiales; Euphorbiaceae.